AGGUAGUCGAUGAAGCAUCUCGAUCGGUGGCUCCCUGGGAAGAAGGAAACCGAAAUUGCAGCAGGCUUCCACCUCCAUCAAUGGCGGCCACCAGAGCCGGGGGGGAAUUGAAAAUUAACAUUGAUGGAGCUUACCUGGCUGGAACGAACGAAGGUGCGGUGUCGAGUGUUCGCCGCGACAGCUCUGGGAGGCUGGUCUGACGGUUUCGCGCGGUCGAUCAAGGCGUCUUCAGCAGCUCAGGCGGAGGUGCAACCCAUGGUGGAAACCCUCAUGACUUCUCCACGGGAACUGAAGCGUCACUUGAAGUGGAGAAAAUAUUCAAGAGAAGAUUCAAAGUGGGAUCG
RNAcentral lists this long non-coding RNA (344 nucleotides) under Eucalyptus grandis. Its description in RNAcentral is "long non-coding RNA (EGRA_LNC006096)". The record is from RNAcentral. Lineage: Eukaryota; Viridiplantae; Streptophyta; Magnoliopsida; Myrtales; Myrtaceae.